GGCUCAGGAUGAACGCUGGCAGUAUGCUUAACACAUGCAAGUCGAACGAGGGUUUACCCUAGUGGCGGACGGGUGAGUAAUGCGUAAGAAUUUACCUUAAGGAAAGGUAUACCCUUUGGAAACGAUGGAUAAUCCCUUAUAGAGGCGCAAGCCCUAAACGGUUUGGAAAAACCUUUAAAUCACUUUACGGAUUAAACCUGCUUCUGCCUGUGGGCAAUGCGGGUUCGGCAUAGCCUUGGCCGCCUAACCAUGCCGCGGAUGGCCAGAGGCCAACCCAGCGGGUCCGUAUCGGAUUGGGCAUUUUUCCUAACCGCCUUUUGAUAAGCUUACGUCUGAUUAGCUAGUUGGCGAGGUAAAAGCUCACCAAGGCGACGACCAGUUAGCUGGUUUGAGAGAAUGAUCAACCACUACUGGGACUGAGCACUCGGCCCAGACUCCUACGGGAGGCAGCAUGGAGGAAUUUUUCGCAAUGGGCGCAAGCCUGACGUAAGCAAAACUGCGGUGGAAGGAUGAAAGCUCGAGGGCUGUAAACUCCCUUUUCCUAGAGAAAGAAGUUUCUGAACGGAUAUCUUGCGCGUAAUAAGCCAUCAACUAACUGCGGUGGCAGCAAGCUGCGGUUAAUACAGAGAAUGCUAAGCGUUAUCCCUCAGAGUAACACAGGGUGGUGCAUGGCUGUCGUCAGGCUCGUGAUGCGAAUUGUUCUGUAAGUCAGAUAACGGAGCGCAACCCCUCGUGCUUUGUUCGUAGAUGUAAGGGCAUGCACGUAUUGCUAUAAAGCGGGCAUAGCCCGCCAAUACUUGCCCGCCAGGCCGCAUUUGGCGGCGCCCCGAAGGGUCCUGGGCUUUGCCCAUCAAUGCGGGUCCGUACUUCNGUAACAGGCACUGUCGCCGAAGGCGACCAAGCCCAGUUUAUAUCGUAGUCAAAGCAGACUGCUGGUGAGAAAUCAGAGGAAGGUGAGGAUGAUGUCAAGUCAGCAUGCCCCUUACGUCCUGGGCUACACACGUGNUACAAUGGCCAACACAAAGAGAAGCAACGGGGCGACCCCAAGCAAACCUCAAAAAAUUGGUCUCAGUUCAGAUUGCAGGCUGCAACUCGCCUGCAUGAAGGUGGAAUCGCUAGUAAUCGCCGGUCAGCUAUACGGCGGUGAAUCCGUUCCCGGGCUUUGUACACACCGCCCGUCACACCAUGGGAGCUGACUAUGCCCAAAGUCGUUACUCUAACGAAAUUUCGAGGGGGACGCCUAAGGCAGAGUGAGUGACUGGGGUGAAGUCGUAACAAGGUAGCCG
Molecule: ribosomal RNA, 1286 nt
Filed under: uncultured cyanobacterium
Lineage: Bacteria; Bacillati; Cyanobacteriota
Description: partial 16S ribosomal RNA
Rfam family: Bacterial small subunit ribosomal RNA
Source: RNAcentral